This 292-nucleotide ribosomal RNA is filed under the name uncultured bacterium. RNAcentral describes it as "partial 16S ribosomal RNA". It matches the Rfam family "Bacterial small subunit ribosomal RNA", at positions 505 to 796 of the family's 1533-position model. The record is from RNAcentral.
GUGUCAGCCGCCGCGGUAAUACGGAGGGUGCAAGCGUUAAUCGGAAUUACUGGGCGUAAAGCGAGUGUAGGCGGCCGUGUAAGUCGGAUGUGAAAGCCCUGGGCUUAACCUGGGAAUGGCAUCCGAUACUGCACGGCUCGAGUCUGACAGAGGGAUGUGGAAUUCCGGGUGUAGCGGUGAAAUGCGUAGAUAUCCGGAGGAACACCAGUGGCGAAGGCGGCAUCCUGGGUCAAGACUGACGCUGAGGCUCGAAAGCGUGGGGAGCAAACAGGAUUAGAUACCCUCGUAGUCC